Molecule: ribosomal RNA, 366 nt
Filed under: Amblyomma variegatum (tropical bont tick)
Lineage: Eukaryota; Metazoa; Arthropoda; Arachnida; Ixodida; Ixodidae
Description: partial large subunit ribosomal RNA
Rfam family: Bacterial large subunit ribosomal RNA (bases 80-366)
Source: RNAcentral
UGGAUUAACGGUAAAAUUCUUUUUUAAUUUCAAAAAUUGAAGUUAUUUUUGUUAGUGAAGAAACUACAAUAAAAAUUAAGGACAAGAAGACCCUAAGAAUUUUAAAUAAUUUAAAAAAAAAUUUUUUUUUAAAUUAUUUUAAUUGGGGCGAUUAAUAAAAAUAAGAAACUUUAUUUCUCCAAAAAAAUGAACCAUUAAUAAUGGCCAUAUGAAAAAAAUACUCUAGGGAUAACAGCGUAAUAAUUUUAGAUAGUUCUUAUAGACAAAAUAGUUUGCGACCUCGAUGUUGGAUUAGGAUUCUUAUUUAAUGAAGAAGUUAAAAAAAGAAGUUUGUUCAACUUUUAAAAUCCUACAUGAUCUGAGUUC